GUCGACAGCAGUGCCACCCUGAACAAGCCCAAUCUCGUCCGAUCUCGGAAGCUAAGAAGGGUCGGGCCUGGUUAGUACUUGGAUGGAGACCACCUAGGAAGACUAGGUGCUGUAUGCA
Molecule: ribosomal RNA, 118 nt
Filed under: Pteropus alecto (black flying fox)
Lineage: Eukaryota; Metazoa; Chordata; Mammalia; Chiroptera; Pteropodidae
Source: RNAcentral